CCGCAGCCCGUAACACAUUUUAUCUAACGUUGUUGAGAUUUAAAUUUGAGACACAUAAAUGCGCAAUCGAAUUUAAGAAGGUAAAUUAUUAAAACAAAACACCUAAAGAGACUACAAGUUUUAAACUUUGUGAAGGCCAUGGAAAUUCAACUACAUGGUAUGCCUCGAGUUCUAAGGAUUAAAGAAUAAUUAAGCGAAGGCCAUAAAUUAUAUCUUGCCUAAUAUGGCAUGCCUCA
RNAcentral lists this long non-coding RNA (236 nucleotides) under Nicotiana benthamiana. RNAcentral describes it as "long non-coding RNA (NBEN_LNC010275)". The record is from RNAcentral. Lineage: Eukaryota; Viridiplantae; Streptophyta; Magnoliopsida; Solanales; Solanaceae.